This 416-nucleotide ribosomal RNA is filed under the name Callionymus valenciennei. RNAcentral's name for it is "partial 16S ribosomal RNA". It matches the Rfam family "Bacterial large subunit ribosomal RNA", at positions 1982 to 2555 of the family's 2925-position model. The record is from RNAcentral. Lineage: Eukaryota; Metazoa; Chordata; Actinopteri; Syngnathiformes; Callionymidae.
UGAUUUCUGUAUGAAAGGCAUCACCAGGGCUUAACUGUCUCCUCCUCCCAAUCAAUUAAAUUGAUCUCCCCGUGCAGAAGCUGGGAUAAUACCAUAAGACGAGAAGACCCUAUGGAGCUUUAAACAUAUCAGGUUUACGUCACUGCCCCCUAGAUAAAGGAGUGAACUAAUUAUAUACCUUGAAAAUGUUUUUGGUUGGGGCGACCACGGGAAAAGAAAUAACUCCCACGGCGAAGAAGUACAAACUUUUAAAGCUAAGACAAUCAAGUCUAAGCCAUAGAAAUUCUAACAAAUGAUCCGGCUUGCCGAUCAACGAAACGAGUUACCCUAGGGAUAACAGCGCAAUCCCCUUUAAGAGACCUUAUCAGCAANGAGGUUUACAACCUCAAUGUUGGAUCAAGGACAUCCUAAUGGUG